RNAcentral lists this ribosomal RNA (492 nucleotides) under uncultured bacterium. RNAcentral describes it as "partial 16S ribosomal RNA". It matches the Rfam family "Bacterial small subunit ribosomal RNA", at positions 29 to 507 of the family's 1533-position model. The record is from RNAcentral.
AGUGAACGCUGGCGGUAGGCCUAACACAUGCAAGUCGAACGGCAGCACAGUAAGAGCUUGCUCUUACGGGUGGCGAGUGGCGGACGGGUGAGGAAUACAUCGGAAUCUACUUUUUCGUGGGGGAUAACGUAGGGAAACUUACGCUAAUACCGCAUACGACCUACGGGUGAAAGCAGGGGAUCUUCGGACCUUGCGCGAUUGAAUGAGCCGAUGUCGGAUUAGCUAGUUGGCGGGGUAAAGGCCCACCAAGGCGACGAUCCGUAGCUGGUCUGAGAGGAUGAUCAGCCACACGGGAACUGAGAGACGGUACAGACUCCUACGGGAGGCAGCAGUGGGGAAUAUUGGACAAGGGGCGCAAGCCUGAUCCAGCCAUACCGCGUGGGUGCAGAAGGACUUCGGGUUGUAAAGCCCUUUUGUUGGGAAAGAAAAGCAGCAGGUUAAUACCCCGCUGUUCUGACGGUACCCAAAGAAUAAGCACCGGCUAACUUCGUG